CUAAGAGUCCAAAAUUUUUUUUUGUCCUAGGGCCCAUAAAAAUGUUGAGCCGGCACUGUUCAUGUGUUGAUCCUUCCCUUGAGUUCUGGAGGUUCUUUUCAUCUUCAUAGACGUUCUGGAGCUGCUUCUCUUGAUCCUUGGUGAUUCCUUCUUCCUUUGAUCCAGAAUGUGCUGUUUGGUGUGGAAAGAGCUCUUCUCGAUAAUCUUCUACACCAGUUUGACAAUGGCUAGUUUUUCCUUGAUGGUUCUCUUCUCCAGGGAUGAUUUGUUGAUAAAAUUGUUGAAAAGCUUGUAGAAUCACAGAAAAAUAGCAAGAUCAAAUUUAGACAAAGAUUUUGAGAGCAAAACAGAGAAAAACGUUUAUCUCUUCAUAUUCCCAUAUCUCUCUCUCAAUAACCAUUUUUCUCUCUUUUAUCCAGAGAGUAUCACAUGCACUCAAGCACCUACAGCUCUCUACAGCCACCCUAGGACUCUACAAAUACAUUGGAACUCAAAAACAAACAACGACAAAGUAAAACACACUCAAACAACUUGAUGGGCCUUCAUACAAACAAAAGCCCAACGAACAAAACACCCAGCCCACAAAUAAGCUUCUUCUCCUUCUUCGACACACCAACGAUGGUUUGUAAACACAUAACACAUCACUUAACACUCCCUCUUGCUGUUUUGUGUUUCAAACCAAGUUUUUCUCUGCGAAAUUCAAACAACUGACCUCUCAAGGGUUUUGUGAAUAUGUCAGCCACUUGAUCUUCACCUCUACAAUAUUGCAAUCUGAUGUCUCCACAUCUUUCAGCCUCUCGAACAAUGUGGUACUUGAUUUUUAUAUGUUUUGUUCUUCUAUGUUGAACUGGAUUCUUCCCGAUAGCAAUUGCAGACUGGCUGUCACUGUAGAUUGGAGUUCCUUCUUGAGAGCUGAAUUUCAAAUCUUCUAAGAGGCGUUUCAACCACAUCACUUGAUUGGUAGUAGCGCACAAUGCCAUAUAUUCUGCCUCUGCAGUCGAUUGAGCAAUCGUGUCUUGCUUACAGGAUUGCCAAGAGAACACAGCUGAUCCAAUGUUGAAACAGUACCCAGUUGUGGAUUUUAAGUCCUCGACGCAUCCUCCGUAAUUGCUGUCAGAGUAUCCAAUUAACCUUGGUUCCUCAACGGUAGAGUAAUACAUUCCCAUAUCAACAGUCCCUCUGAUGUAUCUAAGAACUCUCUUUGCUUCAUUAAGGUGCUUGACUCUAGGUUCCUUAAGAUACCUUGAAAGAUAAGAUGCAGCAAAUGUCAGAUCGGGACGAGUUGCAGUCAAGUACAGUAGGCCUCCAACAAGACUUCGAUAAACUAUGCAGUCUGUAAGUUCUCCUUUUUCUUCUUCGUGUUUGCUUUGAGGUAUGAGAGGAGUGUUCACAGCUCUGCAGUUUUCCAUGUUGAACUUCUUUAACAAUUUCUUUGCAUAACACUCUUGUGACAGAAAGAAUCCUUCCGAUUCUUGGAUAAUCUCCAUACCCAAGAAAUAGUUCAACAGUCCAAGGUCAGACAUUUCAAACUCAUUCUUCAUCACCAUCUUGAAUUCUUCAAUCAUAUUCAAGUCGUCACCUGUCACAAUAAGAUCAUCAACAUAUAUGCAUACCACUAGUAAUUUUCCUUCGAUUUCUUUUGUGAAUAGAGCAUGAUCAUUAUCACUCCUUUUGAAGUUUUCCCGGUUGAAGAAUUCUUCAAUGCGGCUAUACCACGCCCUCGGAGCCUGUUUUAGACCAUAAAGAGCCUUAUGCAAACGGAACACACAAUCUUCCUUUCCUUCUUCUUCAAAACCAGGUGGUUGUUCUGCAUAUAUUUCUUCUUCUAAUGUUCCAUUCAAGAAAGCAGAUUUAACGUCUAGUUGAAACAGUUUCCAUUUCCUUUGAGCCGCAACAGCAAGAAUUAACCUGAUAGUUUCAUGUCUUGACACAUGAGCAAAGGUUUCAUGAUAGUCAACCCCAUAUUGCUUUGUGUCUCACCACAUUUCCUUGAGCAUCAGUUUUUAAUCUGAAUAUCCACUUGACUCCUACCACAUUCUUGUCAGAAGGUCUUUCGAGAAGCUCCCAUGUUUGAUUUUUCUCAAUGGUUUGAAUCUCAUCUACCAUUGCAAGUCUCCAUUCCUUGUGUUUUGCGGCUUCCUCAAAUACAGCAGGUUCCUCUUCGAUGCCAACAUAGCAGCUUUCACAAGAUCCAGAAUAUUCAACAUUAGCAUAAGGGGCAUUCAAGAGGAUAUCUUCAAUAGUUCUGGUUUUCUUGUUUUGCAGGUUUGAGUCACUUUCUGGGCUGUCGAGGUUUAAGCUCAAUGGACUCGGAAGAGUACGUCUUUUCCCUAUAUCUUCAUUGUCCUUUAAUGAUGUCUCUCCAGUUGUUGGGUUUUCUUCUUCAUCCUUUGACUCGCUUGAUAGGUCAUAGGUUUUUGUAACUUCCUUCUUAUCCCAAUUCCACUUGCUUCCCUCAUCAAAUAUGACGUCUCUUGAGAUGUCAAUCUUGUUUUCUUCCAGCAGGUACAGUCUAUAUCCUUUUGUUUGAGAGCUGUAUCCUACAAAUAUACCUCUCUUUGACUUGUCAUCCCAUUUCUUCCUUUUUUCGUCUGGAAUGUGGACAUAACAUAUACUCCCAAACACUCUCAUGUGUUCCAACGAUGGUUUAGUUCCAUCCCAUGCUUCAAUAGGGGUAAUACUUUCUAAGGCUCUUGUUGGGGUUCGAUUCUGGACGUACGUAGCAACGUGAACUGCAUCAGCCCAAAAUUUUAGAGGUAAUCCCUGGCUUUGAUCAUAGCUCUUGCCAUUUCAACUAAGCUUCUGUUUCUUCUUUCUGAAACUCCAUUUUGUUGUGGAGAAUAUUCAGCAGUGAGUUGUCUUUCUAUUCCAUUUUCUUCAAGAAAUUCUGUGAACUCUUUUGAAAGAUACUCAGAUCCUCUGUCGGUUCGAAGCUUCUUGAUUUUGCAGUUUGAGUUAUUUUCAACAAGACUCUUAAACUUUCUAAAUGUUUGAAAGACCUCAGACUUGGCUCUCAGAAAAUAAAUCCAAACCAUUCUUGUUGCAUCAUCAAUAAAUGUGAGAAUGUACCUGUUUCCAUUUAUUGACAAGUUCUGCAUUGGUCCACAUAAGUCGCUGUGAAUUAGCUCCAGUUUCACUCUUGCUCUGGUCUUAGAUUCCUUCGGAAAGGGAUCACGAGAAUGCUUGCUUAGAAUGCAUGAUUCACAUUUUUCUGCUUCUACUUUGAACUUUGGUAAGCCGACCACCAUGUCUUUUGAUUGCAUAAUCUUCAGAUUUGAAUAUCCAGUGUGCCCGAGCCUCUUAUGCCAAAUUGUUGCAUCUUCAUUCUUAGCCAUCAUUGCAGUUUCUUCACUUGCUUGCCACUUUAUGUGAAAACUUUUGUUUCUCAUCGGAACUUCUCCGAUUUUUCUUCUUGUCCUAUCAUGAAUGAUGCAUUUAUUUUCUUUGAAGGUGACUUGGUAACCAUUGGAGAUCAUCUGCGGCACACUUAGGAGAUUUUUUCCCAGCUUAGGUACAAGGAAGACAUCUCGUAUGACUCUUUUCCCUUUCAUUGUCAUCACUUCAAUAUCUCCCUUUCCUUUAGUUAUGAGUGCAACACCAUUCCCAACUUUAAUAGGGACAUUAACACUUGUGUUUAUUCUGAUGAAGAUCUUCUCGUCUGGAGUCAUGUGAUUAGUGCACCCGCUGUCAAUGAGCCAUGAGUUUUCUUCAUUCAAAUCUUGUUUUUCUUGUCUUGCAACGAACGUAUGAUUCUCUUCUCUUUCAAGUACUGUCUCAGCAGCAAUCUUCGACUCCCACUCUGGUGAGCCCUCUCUUCUCUCCUUGAUAGCUCCUCUGAGCACCAACACAGGUUUUCCAGUUUCUUCACACAUCUUCACAACGUUAGGUUCCAUGAAUCAGCUAGUGCUCUGAUACCAUGUUGAAAAGCUUGUAGAAUCACAGAAAAAUAGCAAGAUCAAAUUUAGACAAAGAUUUUGAGAGCAAAACAGAGAAAAACGUUUAUCUCUUCAUAUUCCCAUAUCUCUCUCUCAAUAACCAUUUUUCUCUCUUUUAUCCAGAGAGUAUCACAUGCACUCAAGCACCUACAGCUCUCUACAGCCACCCUAGGACUCUACAAAUACAUUGGAACUCAAAAACAAACAACGACAAAGUAAAACACACUCAAACAACUUGAUGGGCCUUCAUACAAACAAAAGCCCAACGAACAAAACACCCAGCCCACAAAUAAGCUUCUUCUCCUUCUUCGACACACCAACGAUGGUUUGUAACACAUAACACAUCACUUAACAAAAAUUCAAGUCUCGAAUCCUGAAGUUGAUCAGAAUACUCAUUAGUCGAUUUACCUUGCUUUCAGGUACUGUUGGGCGUGUAGAUCCCUUGUGUGAACUGAUUGAACUUGUGUUGAAGGUUUCUAGCUCUUUGACGUGUUAUAGGGCCUUCAGGUAUGUAUGGAACCUCAAUCUCCAGCCUUUGGUUUACUUCCAUGUCCUCCAAAUCUUGGUCUGAUUCGAUGUCCGCAUCACUUGUAGAUGUGAAUAUUAGGAAUGGUACAAUCUUUUGGUUUGUUACUUUUGUUUAUGGCAAUUCUGUGACCAAUUUGAAAGAUUUGGUUUGGGAAAUAAUGAAUACAAUUGGUUAUUUCAAUGAGAUGUUAUCUAAUGAGGAAAAGCUAGGUGAUCUUCAAAGACAAACUUCCUAUAACAUUUGCAGACUCUCUUGAAGAAUUGUGAUAUGUAUGAAUUAGAAAGUUUUGAUAAUGG
This 4760-nucleotide long non-coding RNA is filed under the name Arabidopsis lyrata. Its description in RNAcentral is "long non-coding RNA (ALYR_LNC000512)". Lineage: Eukaryota; Viridiplantae; Streptophyta; Magnoliopsida; Brassicales; Brassicaceae. The record is from RNAcentral.